This 20-nucleotide microRNA is filed under the name Pinus taeda (loblolly pine). Its description in RNAcentral is "pta-miR156a". Its record names the gene pta-miR156a. Lineage: Eukaryota; Viridiplantae; Streptophyta; Pinopsida; Pinales; Pinaceae. The record is from miRBase by way of RNAcentral.
CAGAAGAUAGAGAGCACAUC